UACGUAGGAUGCAAGCGUUGUCCGGAAUUAUUGGGCGUAAAGAGUUCGUAGGUGGUUAUCUAAGUCUGGUGUUAAAGCCCGGAGCUCAACUCCGGCAUGGCAUUGGAAACUGGAUGGCUAGAGUGUGGAAGAGGUAACUGGAAUUCCUGGUGUAGCGGUGAAAUGCGCAGAUAUCAGGAGGAACACCAAUAGCGAAGGCAGCUCGCUGGGACGGUACUGACGCUAAGGCGCGAAAGCGUGGGGAGCGAACAGG
Molecule: ribosomal RNA, 253 nt
Filed under: uncultured prokaryote
Description: partial 16S ribosomal RNA
Rfam family: Bacterial small subunit ribosomal RNA
Source: RNAcentral